AGAGUUUGAUCAUGGCUCAGAUUGAACGCUGGCGGCAGGCCUAACACAUGCAAGUCGAGCGGUAACACAGAGAGCUUGCUCUCGGGUGACGAGCGGCGACGGGUGAGUAAUGUCUGGGAAACUGCCUGAUGGAGGGGGAUAACUACUGGAAACGGUAGCUAAUACCGCAUAACGUCGCAAGACCAAAGUGGGGGACCUUCGGGCCUCAUGCCAUCAGAUGUGCCCAGAUGGGAUUAGCUAGUAGGUGGGGUAACGGCUCACCUAGGCGACGAUCCCUAGCUGGUCUGAGAGGAUGACCAGCCACACUGGAACUGAGACACGGUCCAGACUCCUACGGGAGGCAGCAGUGGGGAAUAUUGCACAAUGGGCGCAAGCCUGAUGCAGCCAUGCCGCGUGUGUGAAGAAGGCCUUCGGGUUGUAAAGCACUUUCAGCGGGGAGGAAGGCGAUAAGGUUAAUAACCUUGUCGAUUGACGUUACCCGCAGAAGAAGCACCGGCUAACUCCGUGCCAGCAGCCGCGGUAAUACGGAGGGUGCAAGCGUUAAUCGGAAUUACUGGGCGUAAAGCGCACGCAGGCGGUCUGUCAAGUCGGAUGUGAAAUCCCGGGCUUAACCUGGGAACUGCAUUCGAAACUGGCAGGCUAGAGUCUUGUAGAGGGGGGUAGAAUUCCAGGUGUAGCGGUGAAAUGCGUAGAGAUCUGGAGGAAUACCGGUGGCGAAGGCGGCCCCCUGGACAAAGACUGACGCUCAGGUGCGAAAGCGUGGGGAGCAAACAGGAUUAGAUACCCUGGUAGUCCACGCCGUAAACGAUGUCGAUUUGGAGGUUGUGCCCUUGAGGCGUGGCUUCCGGAGCUAACGCGUUAAAUCGACCGCCUGGGGAGUACGGCCGCAAGGUUAAAACUCAAAUGAAUUGACGGGGCCCGCACAAGCGGUGGAGCAUGUGGUUUAAUUCGAUGCAACGCGAAGAACCUUACCUGGUCUUGACAUCCACAGAACUUUCCAGAGAUGGAUUGGUGCCUUCGGGAACUGUGAGACAGGUGCUGCAUGGCUGUCGUCAGCUCGUGUUGUGAAAUGUUGGGUUAAGUCCCGCAACGAGCGCAACCCUUAUCCUUUGUUGCCAGCGGUCCGGCCGGGAACUCAAAGGAGACUGCCAGUGAUAAACUGGAGGAAGGUGGGGAUGACGUCAAGUCAUCAUGGCCCUUACGACCAGGGCUACACACGUGCUACAAUGGCAUAUACAAAGAGAAGCGACCUCGCGAGAGCAAGCGGACCUCAUAAAGUAUGUCGUAGUCCGGAUUGGAGUCUGCAACUCGACUCCAUGAAGUCGGAAUCGCUAGUAAUCGUAGAUCAGAAUGCUACGGUGAAUACGUUCCCGGGCCUUGUACACACCGCCCGUCACACCAUGGGAGUGGGUUGCAAAAGAAGUAGGUAGCUUAACCUUCGGGAGGGCGCUUACCACUUUGUGAUUCAUGACUGGGGUGAAGUCGUAACAAGGUAACCGUAGGGGAACCUGCGGUUGGAUCACCU
This 1525-nucleotide ribosomal RNA is filed under the name Serratia liquefaciens. Its description in RNAcentral is "bacterial SSU rRNA". It matches the Rfam family "Bacterial small subunit ribosomal RNA". Lineage: Bacteria; Pseudomonadati; Pseudomonadota; Gammaproteobacteria; Enterobacterales; Yersiniaceae. The record is from RNAcentral.